AACGCGAAGAACCUUACCUGGGUUGAACUAUGCAGGAAAAGCCGUAGAGAUACGGUGUCCUUCGGGCCGUGUGAUAGGUGGUGCAUGGCUGUCGUCAGCUCGUGUCGUGAGAUGUUGGGUUAAGUCCCGCAACGAGCGCAACCCUUAUCCUAUGUUGCCAGCGCGUUAUGGCGGGGACUCGUAGGAGACUGCCGGUGCCAAACCGGAGGAAGGUGGGGAUGACGUCAAGUCAUCAUGCCCCUUACGUCCAGGGCUGCACACGUGCUACAAUGGCCGGUACAAAGGGUUGCUACUCCGCGAGGAGACGCCAAUCCCAAAAAAGACCGGUCUCAGUUCGGAUCGUAGUCUGCAACUCGACUGCGUGAAGCUGGAGUCGCUAGUAAUCGCAGAUCAGCAUUGCUGCGGUGAAUACGUUCCCGGGCCUUGUACACACCGCUCGUC
Molecule: ribosomal RNA, 441 nt
Filed under: uncultured bacterium
Lineage: Bacteria
Description: bacterial SSU rRNA
Rfam family: Bacterial small subunit ribosomal RNA
Source: RNAcentral